AAUCAAGCGUUUAAGGGCGAUUGGCGGAUGCCUUGGCACUGUAAGACGAUGAAGGACGUGGUAUACUGCGAUAAGUUUCGGGGAGCUGU
This 89-nucleotide ribosomal RNA is filed under the name Acidimicrobiales bacterium. RNAcentral's name for it is "partial 23S ribosomal RNA". It matches the Rfam family "Bacterial large subunit ribosomal RNA", at positions 1 to 89 of the family's 2925-position model. The record is from RNAcentral. Lineage: Bacteria; Bacillati; Actinomycetota; Acidimicrobiia; Acidimicrobiales.